AAAACUUUGUUGCCUUGCAAACCACACUUGCAUAAUAACUGAUAUCCCUUAUUAACGAAUUUGAGCCUUAACCUUUCCUUCGAUGACUUAGCCUAUUAUAAGCCUUUGAAUUGAAAGAUAAAAUAUUUUCACCCUCCUUGGAGUAGGUAGAUAAAUUUCAUUUUCAGUAUAUACUAAUCACUAAGUUUCAGGUUGCUCUUGGAAGUAAGCAACAUUUAAAUUUGGGGUUGAGGGUACUAGAGAAAUUGGUCAAAUAAAAAGAUAAAGAAAAUAAAAAUAAGAUGUAAAAAGCAUGACAUUUAAAAAUAAAAAAAAAAAUAAUAAGACCAAAAGUAAGAAAAGAAAAAUUCUCUGGUACUCAAUAUGAAAUAAAGAAUGAUAUGAAAGAAAGAA
RNAcentral lists this long non-coding RNA (393 nucleotides) under Lathyrus oleraceus (garden pea). RNAcentral describes it as "Pisum sativum (pea) long non-coding RNA (PSAT_LNC028559)". Lineage: Eukaryota; Viridiplantae; Streptophyta; Magnoliopsida; Fabales; Fabaceae. The record is from RNAcentral.